UGGAAAGAAUACAACCUCGAACCACACAGGGACCCUGUGACAAUGUGAUCUCUGCCACUUUCUUGCUCUGUGAAUUGAGAGAGAUUAUUUCAGUUCUCUCGGUUUUCACUUUCUUAAUCCUUUCCUUAUUCAAUCUGUUUGUUUACCUUGCUCAGACAACACAAAAGAAGACACAGAAGCACCAUGGGCAAACCAUGGAACAAGAACUGGAAUGAAUAUCUAUUCCACUACCUGAACUAAAGACUGCAGACGGAGAAAGGGAAGACAGGGGUUUAACUGGCAAUUCAAAGUGAGGUGAUCAGCCUUCUGUUACAGAGUUAACUGUGUGUGAAAGCAACUGGAGCUGCUGAUAAGACACCUACUCGGAGUAAUGAUGCAUAAUAUGGAAAUGCAAUAACCCAGACCUCGGUCUUGCUCUGUUGCCCAGGCUGUAGUGCAGAUGCAAGAU
RNAcentral lists this long non-coding RNA (448 nucleotides) under Homo sapiens (human). RNAcentral's name for it is "HSALNT0373654". Lineage: Eukaryota; Metazoa; Chordata; Mammalia; Primates; Hominidae. The record is from RNAcentral.